Microcebus murinus (gray mouse lemur) is the source of this 650-nucleotide non-coding RNA. NCBI's taxonomy places the organism in Eukaryota, Metazoa, Chordata, Mammalia, Primates, Cheirogaleidae. The record is from RefSeq and is a predicted model, not a curated record.
AGUAAAGUGAUGAGCUCAGAUGAGGAUCACUGCUGUGUGCCUAUUGCCUUUGCCAUGAUACUUUGGUGAAAGUGAAGUCAGGUCUCAGGCAAGCUUCCAAGCCUACUCAGUGUAAACACACCAAGGAUGAAGACCUCUAUGAUGAUCCACUUAAUGAACGGGUUUCUCAACUGCUGGGAAACUGUGGCAGUUUCUCCAGGAUACAGUGGCUAAUGGAAAGCCCUGCAUCUGGACAGGCUGUGGGACUAGUUCUCACCAGUGGAUCAUGAGGGAAUGUCUUUAUCACCCUCAGACCAAUAUUGUUAAGAAGCCAGUGCAACUCUUCUGCCCUUUCUUUCCCCUUCCAGCAACUGGAAGCAGGACUUCACAGGUUUAGGAUGUGGGAGAAUCUCAAGAGUCAAGGACCGUGGACCCUUCAGCAUAUGGAGAAAAGCUACCUGGGUGCCGGGAACAUCCACAUUAGAGUGCUAAUGAAAAAGCAGUGCUCAGAAUUGCCAUGCUGGGCUUUGUUACUAUUCCUACUAGCACCCUAUGUAAAAAUACUGUUUUCUAGGCAACAUAAUUUCUAAUUCAGUGCUCCCUAACAGAACUUUCUGCAAUGAUGGAAAAGUUUCUGCAUGUCCUCCACAGCAGCCAUGAACCACUUCUGA